AUUGAUCAGGACGUGCUUGCACUGAAUGAGAUUUUAACACGAAGUGAGUGGCGGACGGGUGAGUAACACGUGGGUAACCUGCCCAGAAGCAGGGGAUAACACCUGGAAACAGAUGCUAAUACCGUAUAACAGAGAAAACCGCCUGGUUUUCUUUUAAAAGAUGGCUCUGCUAUCACUUCUGGAUGGACCCGCGGCGCAUUAGCAAGUUGGUGAGGUAACGGCUCACCAAGGCGAUGAUGCGUAGCCGACCUGAGAGGGUAAUCGGCCACAUUGGGACUGAGACACGGCCCAGACUCCUACGGGAGGCAGCAGUAGGGAAUCUUCCACAAUGGACGCAAGUCUGAUGGAGCAACGCCGCGUGAGUGAAGAAGGGUUUCGGCUCGUAAAGCUCUGUUGUUAAAGAAGAACGUGGGUGAGAGUAACUGUUCACCCAGUGACGGUAUUUAACCAGAAAGCCACGGCUAACUACGUGCCAGCAGCCGCGGUAAUACGUAGGUGGCAAGCGUUAUCCGGAUUUAUUGGGCGUAAAGCGAGCGCAGGCGGUCUUUUAAGUCUAAUGUGAAAGCCUUCGGCUCAACCGAAGAAGUGCAUUGGAAACUGGGAGACUUGAGUGCAGAAGAGGACAGUGGAACUCCAUGUGUAGCGGUGAAAUGCGUAGAUAUAUGGAAGAACACCAGUGGCG
Molecule: ribosomal RNA, 682 nt
Filed under: uncultured Lactobacillaceae bacterium
Lineage: Bacteria; Bacillati; Bacillota; Bacilli; Lactobacillales; Lactobacillaceae
Description: bacterial SSU rRNA
Rfam family: Bacterial small subunit ribosomal RNA
Source: RNAcentral